Molecule: transfer RNA, 77 nt
Filed under: Desulfatitalea tepidiphila
Lineage: Bacteria; Pseudomonadati; Thermodesulfobacteriota; Desulfobacteria; Desulfobacterales; Desulfosarcinaceae
Also listed under: 9 other names
Description: tRNA-Met
Rfam family: tRNA
About the family: Transfer RNA (tRNA) molecules are approximately 80 nucleotides in length. Their secondary structure includes four short double-helical elements and three loops (D, anti-codon, and T loops).
Source: RNAcentral
UGCGGGGUGGAGCAGUCUGGUAGCUCGUCGGGCUCAUAACCCGAAGGUCACAGGUUCGAAUCCUGUCCCCGCUACCA